This 1474-nucleotide long non-coding RNA is filed under the name Salvator merianae (Argentine black and white tegu). RNAcentral describes it as "lncRNA (ENSSMRG00000001968.1)". The record is from RNAcentral. Lineage: Eukaryota; Metazoa; Chordata; Lepidosauria; Squamata; Teiidae.
GGACAUCUAGAAAAGAAACAAGAGACAAAGGAAUUAAGGGGAGUCACAAAGAAAUAUGGAACUCUUAAAUCUUAGAUUCUCUUGGGUUGCUGCCCCUCGUCCAGCGAUGGCAGUGAGGUCAGAAGUGUAUGCACUUCUGAGGAUGCACGUGCAGGCUCGCUGGACAGCCAAGGAGAGUCUGCAGGAAGAAGGACGAUUAAACGUGUCAGGAGCAUCUAAUACGAAGGUAACAAAACUCAGAUAUUGGAAACAUUGCACAGUGCUGCCUUGGAAUCUAUGGGGUUUACUUUUUGAGAAAACCUUCAUAGUUCUAAUUAUGAAAUAUCAAGCCACUGCGCCCCACAGAAAAUCAGGGCUAGACCUUGAACCUUCUGCUGGAGACCCCCAGAAAGACACAUAUUGUGUUAACGCUGCCCAACAGCCACAGCCCACGCAAGCACUGUGGGAUUUACCACUGAGAAGAGCGGAGGAGAAAACAGAUAUCGACAUGCAGUAAAAAUUACAUUUUUACAGUAAAUUACAUUUCGAUAUCAGUUCCAGGGAAGACAAAUCUAAAUUGUUAUAAGUUGGCUUACUUUUCCUCCAACCUUUUGCCAUUUCCCCCCUUUUUAAAAANAGCCUUGGCUUGCCCGAGGCUUGGUUCCAACUGGCUAGGCUAGCUGCUGGACUUCCAGUUNGGGUUCUUGAGAAAGAACUCNUUCNAGUCCAAGUCCCUCCAAAGGGAAGUUUAAGAGCUUUCCCCAAAGUUCCUCCUAAGCACUUAAAACAUCCCUGUCUGCCAUAAAGCCUUACUUUGUCUUCUGCCGUCAGCAUCCAUCCUUCUCNGCUUUAACCGUUUUCAGCCAUUUCCGUUCUUCUUCUUCAUCCUCUUUGCUCACAGUCGCGUCCUGUCAUAGUUUCGUCUUCCAACGUGGAAUGAUCUUCCCAGGUGACCUGCUUGAAGUCUUGGCAGCUUCCUCUUCNUUAUAGGUUCCAUCAGGCUUCNUCCAGUUGGGUCUUUUUCCCAGCAGNUUUUAUUUAUUUCCCUUUCUGCCUGAUCUAUUCUCACUNCCUGCCUAUGCCUCUUUGUCCCAAAUGCUUCGAAAAUGCNCUUUUGUGGGCCAUGGGCAAAACCAGGGUACNUCCUAGCCUUGAAGGCCAGUGACUGGGUGUCUGCCAGUCCCAAAUNGAGCCCAGCAGAAUUUACAAGGCACACCAGUCAUAUCUACCCAGAUGCAAACCUCACUGGGCUAAGCAGAGUCAACAGGUAGAGGGUCGUCUUAAAACUCUCUCUACCAGUCCUUCCCUGUCCAUUUAAAACCACCUAAAGAGAGACUUAAAGGUGGUAUAAAGUCUUAGGCCUGAAGUCCUGGGCAUAAAGCCCAAAUUUAAACAGAGAGAAGUUGGAAUGAUGUUCUAAUAUAGCAAGAGGCAUUUACCAAUAUAAACGAGCCAGCCCUUGAAGGGCAAAUAAAUGCAUCGUUUACAGAUGACA